GACGAACGCUGGCGGCGUGCUUAACACAUGCAAGUCGAACGGAAAGGCCCUGCGUUUGUGGGGUGCUCGAGUGGCGAACGGGUGAGUAACACGUGAGUAACCUGCCCUUGACUUUGGGAUAACUUCAGGAAACUGGGGCUAAUACCGGAUAGGAGCUCCUGCUGCAUGGUGGGGGUUGGAAAGUGUCGGCGGUUGGGGAUGGACUCGCGGCUUAUCAGCUUGUUGGUGGGGUAGGGGCUUACCAAGGCUUUGACGGGUAGCCGGCAUGAGAGGGUGACCGGCCACAAUGCUCCUGCGAUACGGCCCAGUCUGCUACGGGCGGCAGCAGUGGGGAAUAUUGCAGAAUGGGCGGACGCCUGAUGUAGCAACGCCGCGUGCGGGAUGCCGGCCUUCGGGUUGUAAACCGCUUUCUAAUGUGACGAAGCGUGAGUGACGGUAAUGGGUCAAGAAGCCCCGGCUAACUACGUG
RNAcentral lists this ribosomal RNA (468 nucleotides) under uncultured bacterium. RNAcentral describes it as "partial 16S ribosomal RNA". It matches the Rfam family "Bacterial small subunit ribosomal RNA", at positions 28 to 507 of the family's 1533-position model. The record is from RNAcentral.